RNAcentral lists this ribosomal RNA (460 nucleotides) under uncultured bacterium. RNAcentral's name for it is "partial 16S ribosomal RNA". It matches the Rfam family "Bacterial small subunit ribosomal RNA", at positions 338 to 795 of the family's 1533-position model. The record is from RNAcentral.
CCUACGGGUGGCAGCAGUGAGGAAUAUUGGUCAAUGGGCGCAAGCCUGAACCAGCCAAGUCGCGUGAGGGAUGACGGUCCUAUGGAUUGUAAACCUCUUUUGUCGGGGAGUAAGGCCCGCCACGUGUGGCGGGCCGGAGAGUACCCGAAGAAAAAGCAUCGGCUAACUCCGUGCCAGCAGCCGCGGUAAUACGGAGGAUGCGAGCGUUAUCCGGAUUUAUUGGGUUUAAAGGGUGCGUAGGCGGAAGGUUAAGUCAGCGGUCAAAUGUCGGUGCUCAACACCGGCCUGCCGUUGAAACUGGUCGUCUUGAGUGAGCGAGAAGUAUGCGGAAUGCGGGGUGUAGCGGUGAAAUGCAUAGAUAUCACGCAGAACUCCGAUUGCGAAGGCAGCAUACCGGCGCUCAACUGACGCUGAGGCACGAAAGCGUGGGGAUCGAACAGGAUUAGAUACCCUUGUAGUC